CUAAAGGCCCUUUUUAGGGCCACCACACGUUCAAAAAGGAGCUAAA
Neotoma lepida (desert woodrat) is the source of this 46-nucleotide regulatory RNA element. It matches the Rfam family "Histone 3' UTR stem-loop". From Rfam's summary of the family: The mRNAs of metazoan histone genes lack a poly-A tail. 3' end processing occurs at a site between a highly conserved stem-loop (modelled by this family) and a purine rich region around 20 nts downstream (the histone downstream element, or HDE). Lineage: Eukaryota; Metazoa; Chordata; Mammalia; Rodentia; Cricetidae. The record is from Rfam.